RNAcentral lists this long non-coding RNA (2368 nucleotides) under Homo sapiens (human). Its description in RNAcentral is "non-protein coding lnc-PSD3-7:2". Lineage: Eukaryota; Metazoa; Chordata; Mammalia; Primates; Hominidae. The record is from RNAcentral.
CUUUAUUUUGAGCAGCUCUGUUCCUAAUGGCAACCUGGGAGGCUGGCUUUCCAGCCUGUUUUCAAGCAGUGCUCAGCAAAGCCACAUCACCGCAAGGUAUGCUUCAGAAUUUCUAUCGCUGUUUCAGGCCACCCCAGCUUGGCAUUCAUCAUUGCCUUCCCCGGGCAGUUCUCAGUUUCCUACAAUGUCUCAUACUGCCUGUCACACCCAGUGACAGCCUGUUAUAGUCGGGUGGGCAGCACUAAAUGGCUGCUCCCUGGCUCAGCCCCAUCCGUCAGUGCCUUUCCCCUGCAUCUCUGCUCCAGCACCGCCCUUCCUGGGGAUCCUCAGGCUUGGCAGAGGAAAAACAGGGCUGAUAGAGACAGAGAAAGAGAGAGAAACAGGAAUGUCUUGGGGUGAGAUUUUUACUUUAUUGGUGAUAAACCAACUGUGAAAAGUUAGAAAGGAGAAUUUUAGCAACAUGUUGAAGAGGGGAGUUCUUUAAAGGGAAUAUAGGAAAAGCUUCAUAAUUUUAUUGAUAUACUUGAAUUUAAUUUUAAAAGUAAGGACAGUAGUACUCUUGCAUCAAAAUGCAGAAGAUUUAUUUAACGCUGUGUAUCCCACCCCUGUAGGUGUUAGGAAUGCCCCCGUGAGGAAGAGGAAGUGAACUGAGGUGACUACGUGGUGGCAAAAGUCAGGAAAUUAGCAGAGUUAGGGUUUGUGUCCUCCCUCCUACCCAGGAAGGGAUUAGCACUGACUCAUUUCGUAAACAUUUAUUUAGCAACUUCUGUAUGCCAAGAGUUAUCCUCCAUGCUGGAAUAUAGCAGAGGCUGAAACAGAUGAGGCUAAAUCUUUUAUGUCUGGGAUUUUACUGCUUUCAUGGAACUUAAAUUGGCUUGUUAGGGCAUGGAGGAGGUUAAUGGCCAGAAACAGACAGAAAGACACAUGAUAAUGAAAAUAAAUAAAUAGUUACAUGUCAGUUACUGUUAAAUGCUAAGUGUCAUAGUCCACUUUGUAUUGCUAUAACAGAACACAAUAGAUGAUAAUUUAUUUAUAAAGUAAAUUUAUUCUUCACAGUUCUAGAGGUAGGGGCAUCUGGUGAGGGCCUUCCUGCUGCAUCAUCUCAUGGCAGAAGGUGAAAAGAUCAGAGAGUAUGAGAGUGCAAGUGAGCAAGAGGAAGCCAAACUUGCUUUGAUAACAAGCCCACUCUUAAGAUAACUAACACACUCCUGUGAUAAUGACAUUAAUCCAUGAGGACUCUCCCUUCAUGACCUCAUCAUCUCUUAUUCAGCCCCACUUCCCAACGCUGUGGCAUUGGGGAUUACGUUUACAACACAUGAACUUUAGGGAAUACCUUUAAACCAUAGCACCGUGUAAUGAUUUUUAAAAGGUGAUGUGAAAGCAAUUGAGGUCAUUAAAGAAUAUCUUUCUGAAAAAGUGACAUACAAGCUGCUGUAGAUCAAAUGUUUAUGAUCUAUAACAUCCACCCUCCCACACACAAAUUCAUAUAUUGAAAUCCUAACCCCCAGUGGGAGGGCGUUAGGAGAUGGAGCCUUUGGGAGGUGAAUAGUUCAUGAGGGUGGAGCCCUCAUGAAUGGGACUAAUGCCCUUCUAGAAGAGACCCCAGAAAGCUCUCUUACUCCUUUCACCUUGUGAGGACUCAGCAAGAAGAUGGCCAUCUAUGAACCAGGAAGCGGACCCUCACCAGACAGAAAAUCUGCCAGCACCUUGAUCUUGGACUUCCAGCCUCCAGAAUCAUAAGAAAUAAAUUUCUCUUGUUUAUAAUUCUCUAUGGUAUUGUUGGUAUAGCAAUGUGAACUAAGACAUAAGUUGAGAUCUGAGUGAUAAGAAGUAGCAAAUCAUGUUAGUUAGGAGGACAGAGUGCAUUGAGCAGAGGCCUCAACUAACAUGAAGUACCAAAAGUAGAACGAAGUUUAAAAAGUCCCAGUGGGGCUAGGAAGAAGGCCAGUGGGCCUAGAGUGGGGCGGGUGAGGGCAGAAGGCAAGGAGGUAUGUGUGGAGAAGUGGCUGACCCUGGUUUACAUAGCUCGGUCAGGUGGGGGUAGGAUCAGGAAUCACAAGUCCAAGGGUUUAGCCCAGACAGAGAUCCCCUGCUUGGGGCUUCUGGGGCACUGAGUAAGCUGUGGCUUUCAGAAUCAGGUGACUGUCAGAUUCAGGGAGUUUUUCUCGGUGUGCUCAAGGACCAGAGUUUGGUGAUGGAGGGCAGACAUUGAGGAGGCAGGAACCAUUAAAAAACAGGGUCCAGCCCUGGAAGAAUAGACUAGUAGAUAUUGGAAAAGUUGGUUAAGGUCUCAGGUGAAUGAAGUGAAACUCCAUAACAAGACAGAACAGAGAGACAUGCUUCUUGUGAAGGCUGAGUAGGGGCACUG